Molecule: ribosomal RNA, 271 nt
Filed under: uncultured prokaryote
Description: partial 16S ribosomal RNA
Rfam family: Bacterial small subunit ribosomal RNA
Source: RNAcentral
UACGGAGGAUCCGAGCGUUAUCCGGAUUUAUUGGGUUUAAAGGGUGCGCAGGCGGGCCAUUAAGUCGGCGGUGGAAUUUUGCGGCUCAACCGUAAAAGUGCCUUCGAUACUGGUGGUCUUGAGUGUGGAUGAGGUAGGCGGAAUUUGUGGUGUAGCGGUGAAAUGCAUAGAUAUCACGAGGAACUCCGAUUGCUAAGGCAGCUUACUAAGCCAUAACUGACGCUCAAGCACGAAGGCGUGGGGAUCAAACAGGAUUAGAUACCCGGGUAGU